Molecule: transfer RNA, 72 nt
Filed under: Anaerosolibacter carboniphilus
Lineage: Bacteria; Bacillati; Bacillota; Clostridia; Peptostreptococcales; Thermotaleaceae
Rfam family: tRNA
About the family: Transfer RNA (tRNA) molecules are approximately 80 nucleotides in length. Their secondary structure includes four short double-helical elements and three loops (D, anti-codon, and T loops).
Source: Rfam by way of RNAcentral
UCCAGAGUAGCUCAAUGGUGGAGCACCCGGCUGUUAACCGGUAGGUUCAGGGUUCGAGUCCCCGCUCUGGAG